This 21-nucleotide microRNA is filed under the name Citrus sinensis (sweet orange). RNAcentral's name for it is "csi-miR12110-5p". The record is from miRBase by way of RNAcentral. Lineage: Eukaryota; Viridiplantae; Streptophyta; Magnoliopsida; Sapindales; Rutaceae.
CUGGGGAGUUGCACCCGGAGU